GUUCAUCUCAUUGCUUGCUUGCUUUAUUAGUAGGGACUAGGGAGGGCAUUCUACCAGAACUCAACACUGAGUCAAACGUAGCUUCGGAGAUCUUGGUCUGCGUGCUACAAGAAUUUGCUUCACCAUUCAGGGAUUUUGUUGAUCUUACGUAGCUAAUAGUUGAAAGAAGAACAUGGCUCACGACCAUGAUCAUCACCAUGGAGAAAACCCUUAUUAUGAUGAUCCGAUUGAUCCCUUGUUGUGGUAUUGCUGCUGCCCUUGUAAUUUAGUAUCUUCUAUAUUCAGAGGAAUUGGGAGGUGCAUCUUCGUGGCUUGUUUCCCUAUUAUGCAGUGUUUUGAAUUGGAAAACCAUGCUCACCGCAUGCACAAUUACGGCCACAGGCAUUACCACUAUACUCCGUGACAUCGACGUCGACCCAGACAAGAUUUCAAUGUUUUGAUCAAGUCCAGCACGAAGAGCCUUUGGAAAUUAAUUUUUGACUCUUGUUGAGGUAAUGUAAUUGAACACUUGGCUCUAAGAAAUUAAGCCAAGACUAUCUGAAUUAAGGUUGCAUGCGCUUGAAUGUGCUGAUCCUAUUUUCUGUAAUUCUGUUUCCCUUGUUCUUUCCUCAAAUCAAACAGAACACAUAAAUUGGAAACCAUUUUCUCAA
Long non-coding RNA from Rosa chinensis, 650 nucleotides. RefSeq lists it as uncharacterized. Lineage: Eukaryota; Viridiplantae; Streptophyta; Magnoliopsida; Rosales; Rosaceae. The record is from RefSeq and is a predicted model, not a curated record. The transcript has 2 exons.